Molecule: signal recognition particle RNA, 95 nt
Filed under: Alphaproteobacteria bacterium
Lineage: Bacteria; Pseudomonadati; Pseudomonadota; Alphaproteobacteria
Description: signal recognition particle sRNA small type
Rfam family: Bacterial small signal recognition particle RNA
About the family: The signal recognition particle (SRP) is a universally conserved ribonucleoprotein involved in the co-translational targeting of proteins to membranes.
Source: RNAcentral
GGAGCCCGGUGGCGGACAUGCCGCUCGCCAAUCUGGUCAGGUCCGGAAGGAAGCAGCCAUAACGAAUCCGGUUUGGGUUGCCGCCGGGCUCCCAC